RNAcentral lists this ribosomal RNA (519 nucleotides) under uncultured eukaryote. RNAcentral's name for it is "SSU rRNA". It matches the Rfam family "Eukaryotic small subunit ribosomal RNA", at positions 1161 to 1700 of the family's 1831-position model. The record is from RNAcentral.
AGGGCACCACCAGGAGUGGAGCCUGCGGCUUAAUUUGACUCAACACGGGAAAACUCACCCGGCCCGGACACCGCGAGGAUUGACAGAUUGAUAGCUCUUUCAUGAUUCGGUGGAUGGUGGUGCAUGGCCGUUCUUAGUUCGUGGAGCGAUUUGUCUGGUUUAUCCCGAUAACGAGCGAGACUCUAGCCUACUAACUAGUCCGCAUGUUCGCUUGCUGCAUGCUUGGGACUUCUUAGAGGGAUUUUCGGCGUUUCAGCCGCACGAAACUGAGCAAUAACAGGUCUGUGAUGCCCUUAGAUGUCCGGGGCUGCACGCGCGCUACACUGGCGAAAUCAGCGUGCCUGUCCUCUCGCGAAAGCGACUGGUAAACCGGUGAAAAUUCGCCGUGAUUGGGAUCGGAAAUUGCAACUAUUUUCCGUGAACGAGGAAUUCCAAGUAAGUGCGAGUCAUCAACUCGCGUUGAUUACGUCCCUGCCCUUUGUACACACCGCCCGUCGCUGCCCGAGACUGAGCCAUUUC